GACGUAGGGCGCGAGCGUUGUCCGGAUUUAUUGGGCGUAAAGAGCACGUAGGCGGCUUUGUAAGUCGGAUGUGAAAUCCCUCGGCUUAACCAAGGAAGUGCAUCCGAAACUGCAAGGCUUGAGUACUUAAGAGGAUCGCGGAAUUCCCGGUGUAGAGGUGAAAAUUCGUAGAUAUCGGGAGGAACACCAGUGGCGAAGGCGGCGAUCUGGGAAGAUACUGACGCUGAGGAGCGAAAGCGUGGGGAGCGAACAG
This 253-nucleotide ribosomal RNA is filed under the name uncultured bacterium. Its description in RNAcentral is "partial 16S ribosomal RNA". It matches the Rfam family "Bacterial small subunit ribosomal RNA", at positions 524 to 775 of the family's 1533-position model. The record is from RNAcentral.